Molecule: ribosomal RNA, 120 nt
Filed under: uncultured bacterium
Lineage: Bacteria
Description: partial 16S ribosomal RNA
Rfam family: Bacterial small subunit ribosomal RNA
Source: RNAcentral
CCAGCCGUAAACGAUGGACGCUAGGUGUGGGGGGACGAUCCCCCCGUGCCGCAGCCAACGCAUUAAGCGUCCCGCCUGGGGAGUACGGCCGCAAGGCUAAAACUCAAAGGAAUUGACGGG